Long non-coding RNA from Catharus ustulatus (Swainson's thrush), 491 nucleotides. RefSeq lists it as uncharacterized. NCBI's taxonomy places the organism in Eukaryota, Metazoa, Chordata, Aves, Passeriformes, Turdidae. The record is from RefSeq and is a predicted model, not a curated record. The transcript has 3 exons.
GCUCCUCCCGCCGCAGCCUCCGGCACCCCGGCGUCUUACCGCAGUUUAGGAAUGAGGUGUGGAGAGUUAGAUAUUUAAAAAAAAAAAACCAACAACAAAACAACAACAACAACAACAACAACAAAAAGCAAACAAACCAGAAAACCAAAAACAAAACCCAAAGGCUACUUCCCAGUCAUUCCUCCCUUGCUGGAGGGCCACUACUCCAGUCGGGCGAGACGCCACCUGUUUACUGGCCCUGGAAAGAAUGCAGAGGUUAUUAUCUUCCACAGAACAACACUCAGCAGGAAAGCAACAUAACCUUGCAGAAACACUUAUCAAAAAAAUCCAACUCCUGCUCUACAUUAUUGACAAUUGAGAGAGAGAUGGGAACUACUGACUGGUGAUCAGAAUCCGAAUUUACUGGAGUUAUUUUCUGGUAAUGGCCCAUUGAAUCCCACUGUGUGACUGAUAAAACUACUGCAUCCCAUUGGAAGUUGCUCCAGCCAGGG